This 484-nucleotide ribosomal RNA is filed under the name uncultured bacterium. Its description in RNAcentral is "partial 16S ribosomal RNA". It matches the Rfam family "Bacterial small subunit ribosomal RNA", at positions 30 to 507 of the family's 1533-position model. The record is from RNAcentral.
AUUGAACGCUGGCGGCAGGCCUAACACAUGCAAGUCGAGCGGAUGAAGGGAGCUUGCUCCUGGAUUCAGCGGCGGACGGGUGAGUAAUGCCUAGGAAUCUGCCUGGUAGUGGGGGAUAACGUCCGGAAACGGGCGCUAAUACCGCAUACGUCCUGAGGGAGAAAGUGGGGGAUCUUCGGACCUCACGCUAUCAGAUGAGCCUAGGUCGGAUUAGCUAGUUGGUGGGGUAAAGGCCUACCAAGGCGACGAUCCGUAACUGGUCCGAGAGGAUGAUCAGUCACACUGGAACUGAGACACGGUCCAGACUCCUACGGGAGGCAGCAGUGGGGAAUAUUGGACAAUGGGCGAAAGCCUGAUCCAGCCAUGCCGCGUGUGUGAAGGAGGUCUUCGGAUUGUAAAGCACUUUAAGUUGGGAGGAAGGGCAGUAAGUUAAUACCUUGCUGUUUUGACGUUACCAACAGAAUAAGCACCGGCUAACUUCGUG